UGAACGCUGGCGGCGUGCCUAAUACAUGCAAGUCGAGCGAACAGAUGAGGAGCUUGCUCCUCUGACGUUAGCGGCGGACGGGUGAGUAACACGUGGAUAACCUACCUAUAAGACUGGGAUAACUUCGGGAAACCGGAGCUAAUACCGGAUAAUAUAUUGAACCGCAUGGUUCAAUAGUGAAAGACGGUUUUGCUGUCACUUAUAGAUGGAUCCGCGCCGCAUUAGCUAGUUGGUAAGGUAACGGCUUACCAAGGCAACGAUGCGUAGCCGACCUGAGAGGGUGAUCGGCCACACUGGAACUGAGACACGGUCCAGACUCCUACGGGAGGCAGCAGUAGGGAAUCUUCCGAAAUGGGCGAAAGCCUGACGGAGAAACGCCGCGUGAGUGAUGAAGGUCUUCGGAUCGUAAAACUCUGUUAUUAGGGAAGAACAAAUGUGUAAGUAACUAUGCACGUCUUGACGGUACCUAAUCAGAAAGCCACGGCUAACUACGUG
Molecule: ribosomal RNA, 495 nt
Filed under: uncultured bacterium
Lineage: Bacteria
Description: partial 16S ribosomal RNA
Rfam family: Bacterial small subunit ribosomal RNA
Source: RNAcentral